This 500-nucleotide ribosomal RNA is filed under the name uncultured bacterium. Its description in RNAcentral is "bacterial SSU rRNA". It matches the Rfam family "Bacterial small subunit ribosomal RNA", at positions 375 to 873 of the family's 1533-position model. The record is from RNAcentral.
AUGCAAGUCUGAACCAGCCAUGCCGCGUGCAGGAAGAAGGCCUUCUGGGUUGUAAACUGCUUUUGCCGGGGGAUAAAAUUCCCAUGCGUGGGACAUUGAAGGUACCCGGUGAAUAAGCCACGGCUAACUACGUGCCAGCAGCCGCGGUAAUACGUAGGUGGCAAGCGUUGUCCGGAUUUAUUGGGUUUAAAGGGUGCGUAGGCGGUCUUGUAAGUCAGUUCUGAAAUAUCCCGGCUUAACCGGGAGGGUGGGAUUGAUACUGCAGGACUUGAGUGGAGUCGAGGUAGGCGGAAUUGACGGUGUAGCGGUGAAAUGCGUAGAUAUCUGAAGGAACAUCAGUGGCGAAAGCGACUUCCUGGACCAAUACUGACGCUCAUGUGCGAAAGCGUGGGGAGCAAACAGGAUUAGAUACCCUGGUAGUCCACGCCAUAAACGAUGAGAACUGGAUGUCGGGAGGGUCUGCCUCUCGGUGUCGUAGCUAACGCGUUAAGUUCUCCGCC